AAAAAAAAAAAAAAAAAAAAAAAAAAAGCCACAUCUGAUAGCAGUUUAACUUCUAAAAAGUUUACUCUGCUAUUGAAAAACAUUCAACCCAUUAGGCAUAGAAGUCCAAUCGUAAUAUGCCCCAGUGACUCAUGUCCAUACACUUAUAAGCCAUAAGCUUAUAAUGGCAAGUUGGUUAGAUGUGAAAACAGCAAAGAAACAAACUUCCCGCUUUGACUUCCACGAAUGAGAGGAGGACAUUUCUGACAUGUCUGAUGUUUCAUCAAUUGACUCUGCGUUAGAUACAAACCAAGGGGUUUAAACUCCACUAUAAUUCCACCUACCCUGUCUUCAAGAGGUACAUCAGGACCACUAGACGAGCAGAUUUCCCAAUUAAUAUGCUAUCCUUAGGAGGGACAAAUGCCUACCUCUACUAUCUUUGCUCGUUGCGACAAUGAGGCUUCGUACCAUGCAUUAACAAAGGCACUUCCACACUUAGUUGCCCAUGCUCUUAUUAAGACGCCCCGCAUGGUUAUCAGCUAAAAUAAUUCAUUGUGUUUGCCAUACAUGUACCAUGUUGUAAUGUCAUUUCUGAUUCUCUCUUGUUUUUCUCAUUUCAGAGAUCAUGUCAGCUGGUUGCAGAAGCUGACCCUCAUCCAACCUAUUACACUCCACAUCCAUUUCUAAAUACAUUUACACUCUUUGCAAAUGACACUUUUCCACUCACAUAGCCCACACCCUCGAUGCCAUAUUCACACUAGCCUUUUUAAUUUAAGUCUUCUGAACUAAGUAUGACAUUUCAAUUCAACGAUACACCUAACCAUAUCUGAUCUAUCUUCGCAGGAUGAAGGGACGCAGGAUGAUAUCCGUUCCCCCACACACCUGUUCUAAACAGGCCCGGAUUGACUAAUCGGGAGGACCGGGAGAAUUCCCGGUGGGCCGUCAGUCGUGAACUGAGGUGGGCUGGUCUGAGGCUUGAAACUCCAGAGCUGAAAAGGUGUCCCACUCCGGCCCUGGUUCUAAACCUCUUAGCAUUUUUACACCACAGAAGAGCAAUAACACCUCGGGGAAGCCCAGCCGAUCAUCUCCAGCCAACUUCCACCAUCAUGCAUUAUUGGGUAUGAAGUAUGACUCUGUCAUUUCCUUCCUAUUUCCCUUCCUAUUUAACAUAGGAGCUCCUUCACUACCCUUCCCUGUUUUUUUAGCUUUAACUUUUCCUCUCCAAAUUUAAACUAUCCUAUACUUCUAUUCACUUUCAUUCACCACAGCUCCGACCAAUUCAGGGGUUGUCUUGAGUUUCAGUUGCUGCAACAGGAACGUUCUAAAUGAGCUUGCAUACACUUACAAAUUUUCUAAAUACCACUAUCGUUGCACUCCCCGCACUAAUACAGCAGUAAAUGCUUCUGCGGGAGCACAAGUUGCCUCCAUACUGGCCCACUACACCACUGCAGCCGCAGAAAUGCUCCGCAGAGUUGCACACCCAAAGCACCACUGCUACCGCAGUGAACCUCUAGCAUAUGCCUUAUUCACCUUCAUCUUUACAUAUCACUAAAGGCAGUAUUUAACGUCCCUGCGGGAGCACUCAAAACUUACUAAUAUCGACUGUUUAGGUGCUCCACUUAACUAUACACCCCAUUAACAUCACGGCAACUGCAGUGACGCUCUAGCUGAGCCCCUUUAUCACUUUCAUCUCUAAAUAUCACUGCUAAUAGUACUUAGUAUUUCCGUGCGAGGCGCUAAUACCGAGUACCACUGAACCUCUGCUACUGCAGAGACGCUUUGCCGAGCCUUAUUCUCCCUCUGCACCACUGCUGCAACAGUUAAGCUUUGCCUGAGCUGCAACUGCAGAGACGGCUGUUUAGCCUUAAUUCUCUGCACCACUGAUUUUAUUGCACUUCUGUAACUGCAGAGAAGCUCUGCUGAGAUUAUUUUUUCCCCCUGCACCAAUGCUGCAGCAGUGACGCCCUGCCUGAACAGUCUUCCAACAACAGAUAUAAACUCUGUCAUUGGUCCUCUAACACCUCUAAAUCCUCAAUUUGCCUCAGCCAAUAUUUCCUCAGAGAAGCCCAGCUGAUUCUCGGUUGCAGACUUCAACCUAGUUUCCAAGCAGCACGACUCUGUCUGUUCUUCCUACUUUCUGUCUUAGUUGCAUAGGACUCAUUUUUUACUAAACUUUCCUUUUUAUUUUAUUAAACUUCCCUUCUCUUCCUCUUCAUAAUUUUUCAAUUUCACUUGCACUCAUUCUCCGCAGCUCGGACUCCCACAGGGGUAGCCCCAAGCUCCCACUGCCACAGCAGUGAAGCUCUUUAAGAGCUCACAUGUACACUUUUCAAAAAAAAAAAA
Danio rerio (zebrafish) is the source of this 2322-nucleotide non-coding RNA. Lineage: Eukaryota; Metazoa; Chordata; Actinopteri; Cypriniformes; Danionidae. The record is from RefSeq and is a predicted model, not a curated record.